AUGAAUAGUCUUAGCCUCAGUAUUCUGAAUUGGAACGUCCGAGGGUUAAAUUGCCCAAAUAGAAGAACUACAGUCAAUGAGACUAUUGCUCCCUCGGCCUGCCACUUAGCGUGCUUCCAGGAAACAAAACUGGAGAUUGUUGACCCCAUGGUCGCUUCUUUCUUGGGCGGCUUUGUGCUCAAAGGUUUUGCACAAUGGCCUGCAAUAGGCACUCGAGGCGGUAUCCUGCUGCUCUGGGAUGAAGAGCACAUGAAGCUUGAAAACGUGCACUUCGGCACCUACACCCUCUCGGCGAAGAUUACCAUUAUCAGCUCCAAUACCUCCUUCAACUUCACCAUGGUCUAUGGGCCGACAAGAAGCAACCUUAAGGACGAUUUCUAUAAUGAGUUGAUGGCUGAAAAGCCGCCCGGUGACGGAUGGCUGGUCACAGGUGACUUCAACCAAAUACACGCCCGAGACAAGAAUCGUUCCAAUGCAAACCGUACACGCAUCGCUCACUUCCGAGACACCCUCUAUUUUUGCGAGCUCAAAGAAAUUCACCUUCAAAAUAGGAAGUACACCUGGAGCAAUGAGCAGAGCAACCCAACCAUGUCCAAGCUUGAUGGUUUCUUUUGUAAUGAGGAUUGGGACAUCACUUUUGACAAGCAUAUCCUCCAUGCCCUAUCAUCGUCCCUCUCGGUUCAUUGCCCGCUUCUGUUAGCUAACAAUGAUGGCCCAAGACGCCCGAAGACUUUCUGCUUCGAGAACUUCUGGACAAGCAUGCCUGGCUUCCAGCAAACCGUCCAGGAGGCUUGGAACGAGCCCUCCACGCACUCUGAAGCGUACCAAAGGCUCUUCCACAAACUAAAGUGCACUAGCCAAAGACUAUGGGCCUGGAGCAAGACCCUCUUCUCCCAGGCCAAAGUCCAGCUGCACAUGGCCCUGGAGAUUAUCUUAUGCCUUGAUGAGGCCCAAGACCCGCGAGAACUUAGUGCGGAGGAGGCGGACCUUCGGAAAAGACUGAAAAGAAGAGUGGUCGGGCUGGCUGUGUUGGAAAGAGCGAGAAAGAAGCAGAACUCGAGGAUAUCGAAUAUCAAAGAGGGGGAUGAAAACACCCGUUACUUCAAUCUUCGGAUCAACGGGAGGCGUCGGAAGAACCUUAUCCAUAGACUCAAACAUGGAAAUGGCUGGGUGACUAGUCAUGAGCAUAAAAGCAACAUUCUCCAGAGGCAUUUCGCCAACAUUAUCAAGAAGGGCUCGCCAUGCCCAAAAACGAUCAUCCGGGGCACCUUCCCUCCUACGGUCCAUGACCUCUCCGACCUUGGGGUGCCCAUCACGGAGGAUGAGGUCAAGGAUGCUCUCUCUGCCCUCCCUGGAGACAAGGCCCCGGGGCCGGAUGGCUUCACUGGGAAAUUCUAG
This 1398-nucleotide ribosomal RNA is filed under the name Triticum aestivum (bread wheat). Its description in RNAcentral is "partial small subunit ribosomal RNA". The record is from RNAcentral. Lineage: Eukaryota; Viridiplantae; Streptophyta; Magnoliopsida; Poales; Poaceae.